UGGUAGUAAUGUAAAAAGGGACGGUCUUAUGGCUGCUAUCAUUUGGUUGGUAGUAUGUUGAUGAAAGUCUGCGUGAUGUAUUUUUUUAUGAGCAGC
Molecule: small nucleolar RNA, 96 nt
Filed under: Olea europaea subsp. europaea
Lineage: Eukaryota; Viridiplantae; Streptophyta; Magnoliopsida; Lamiales; Oleaceae
Source: RNAcentral